Rattus norvegicus (Norway rat) is the source of this 11025-nucleotide long non-coding RNA. RefSeq lists it as uncharacterized. NCBI's taxonomy places the organism in Eukaryota, Metazoa, Chordata, Mammalia, Rodentia, Muridae. The record is from RefSeq and is a predicted model, not a curated record.
UUAGCGCACACUGAAUUAAUGCUAUUGUUUAUUGUCUAUCAACAUGUCAAUCACCUGUUUACUCUGUGCCAACCACAUGACCCGGUGAGCAUCCCUUCAAUCUUGUGCUAUGCUGAUGCAAAUGGGAACGUUUAACACUCCUGGGGUUUCUUAGCACCCUAAUCAGUGGCUUCGGGCUAAGGCAGGGUAGGCACUUGGUACUCUUUCUGGUUUCAUACACUCCCUCUUAAAACCUUUCAAUGGUAACGCCAUGUCUCAGAAAAUGCAGUGUGCUUCUGUGCCAACCUAGCUUCAGCCAGAUCCCUGUUCUCCUGGUCAGGUUGCAACUCCAGACCUCUGUCUAAUAACAUUAGGAGCAUGGAUGGGCCAGACAAUGAAGCGUGCUGGAGGAGCUCAGUGUUACCCUGUGGAUGUCAUCAAAUUUUGUUUCUGUGGGAACACAGACAGAAGAGACGAGAAAUGCAGAAGCUAUUCCAGAGGCUUCUGCACUUAGGAGAAAGGCUCUGCUAGCAUAGAGAGCUCUGCAUCCAGUAGAAUAUGCUCAUGUAUGUAUUACACUAAAGGAGAGAAGGGUGGAAGAUAGGGCAGCUUUAAUGAAGCUAAUGGGCUUAGAAAAGGCAGUACGAGGAAGUUCCAAUGACAUUUUACAGGAAUGGAUUACACAUAAGGAUGAGGCAGGAGAAUUUGAGAGCCGGGAGCAUAAAGGCAGAGGUUGCCUGGGUGGGAAUUGGGACUCCAGGCGAGGGCAGAGACAGUGCAGAGUCCUCAGCCACAUGCGGUUCGUUCCUCUUCAAGGUAGCUGGAGCCAGCUUUGCCGCUGCCCCCAGCGAGUCAGCUGGCUGGUGGGUUGGCUGACAGGGGUGUUGCGCGCUGAAUUUCUUUCCAAGGAGGAGGAGAAGAUGGCAGCUCUUCUAUACAUCACCCUCCGCCACCUGCCAAGGAGGCGAGACACCGCUGUGGAGAAAACAGCUUUUACUCAUUCCUUUGUAUCGGGGCCUGAAUACAAGCCAGGAGCGGUGGGGUUUGGUUAAUAAGCUAGCUGGAAAUCAUGCUAAUGGGAGUGCUAUUGCUGGGAGCCCUCCAGGCUGGGGAGGGUGUGAUUGAAUGUUGAGGUUCUCGAGGAGCACCCCCACCCCCACCCCUGUCCAUUCUCACAGCCAUCCUAGCACAAUCACAUCGGCCUGGCUGGAUUCGAGCAGCAACAGUGACAGGGAGGGACAAGCAGAGGCUAGAAUGAGAAUCACCGUGAGGUCUUUCUGUGAUGGGGUUAUUGCAGGGCUCCAGGGAGUACUAGCUGUUGCCACAGAAUCGCUAAAGGGUGGGAGGCGAAGGGCCUUAGGCUCCGAAAGAAAAGAACCAGCGCCACCUGCAAGCUCAGCUCUUCCCGACAGGACAAGGUGGUGUUCCCUUGGAACAAUGUCUUCUCAAUAUGACCAAAUUCUAUACCGUACACAAAGGGCCCAUCGUACGCAGAAGGGUUUCUUCCAGCCUGGCAGACAUUGGGGUUUGACAUCGCCCGCCCUCUGCCUGACCCUUGUGUGUACUGGUCCGGGUUGGCUCGGAUCUGAGUUCCUUGCCGCUCCCACUAUUCCUGUCUCCUACAGAACCUCUUAUACUGUAUGAUGCGUCUCAGACAGGAGUGUCUGUGGGACUUGGGUUUUGCUGGAGGCAGAAGAGGUAGAAGGCUCCAGAGAAGCGCGGAGAGGCAAUCAGACUCUUAAUAAACCUCCGGGGUUUACUAAGCCAUCCUCAGGGACAACGGGCAGCUCUCCUUUUCUGCCUCUCCUCUUCCACCUUGCCCUAAAUUCGUGUCGGCACCCCCAUCCCCCUUUGGCUCACUCCUCUGCCUUGGUGACUAGUAGGUUUAUGAGUCCAACAGACUUAAGAGAACACUUGUGUUUUUUAAGGCAUGGCUGGCCGCUCCCUCCUGAGUCAUUGCCCUGCCCAACGGCCUUUGGUGAGUUGGGAGGAGAAGGGGAGACUAACAACACGAAGAAUCUUUAGCCUGGAGAGCUAUUUCCUCGUGGCAAAUCACGGUGCGGUGAUCAGUGUAUAAUAAGCUGGGACUUUUCCAAGGCGAGCCAGUUCGCAGCGUCAGCAUUGCCUGGGUCUGAGCAGGCACCAAGGAUGUACUGAGGCUCUGAGGUCGUGCACUUUUUUUUCUGAGGGCCCACGAUGGCUUUGCUGCGGCAGCCUGCUUGAUAAAGAAACAUCUUUCCCAAGUCAUGUUUCAUCCGGUUCAAUAGAUGCCCUUGGGCUUAACGGAUCCGAGUGCUUUCUUGGGCAAAUCAGUCCGCGUGGAGAGUGCUAAAUCAAACCGUGUUCACUUCUUUCACGGUUCACAGUCACCAAACUGUACAAGUGGGCCUGUGAGCAUGCUUACAGAUUAGAGGCUUCUCUCUAAAGGACCCCGUGAGAAGAGAAGUACAAUCCUUUGGCAAACUCCUUGCUUUCUGUCCUUUCAGAAAACGGAUCCAUUUGGGAGACAAGGCUCAUGUAUCCAAACACUGCGCCUCCAUCCUGCCAGCCGAGCGGACCUGUGGCUUUAUUCAUAAUGUAUUUACACAGCCCAGCAACCAUUGAAGAUGCCUGUUUAAUGAAAUGCUGGGCUUGUAUUCGAAUGGCACGAUUGGGAGUCAUUAUGAGUAAAUACGUGUACAGAUUUAUUUUCCUUCCCCCAGAGGUCCCUCAAAGGUCCCUGAAGGUAAAUAUUUGCACGGUGCCCAAUUUGUAUUUCCCCAGCCUAAUUUUGUUACUGAGGUAAGUAAGAGCCUAGCCUUCUUCCACCUAGCUUGUUAACAUGCACAGAGACACUUCCCUCUCUGCUGCCUGUGGCAUUCUAACUGCCGGGAGACAGCGCCCAGGCUGGGCCCGCAGCCACUUAACCAACUUAGUACAGCCGUGGGCUUGCUGGGUCCUGAGUGACUGUUCCUGCUUUGGAGUAGUGAGUGUGCAUCUGAUGAAAUAAUGCUUAUGUUCAGGAAGUGCAGUCCAGUGUGGAUCUACAUGGCUGUCCCAGCAUUGGGGAAUGCGGGGGUGGUGGACAUAAAUUCUCAAGAAUCCUGAGAAACUAAAAUCUCUAGAAUUCUCAGAGUACUUUUUAGGAAGUAGAGCAAAACUCCCGCUCCCAUCAUCUGGUUUUCCUUCAGAGUCUUAAUAAAUAUUCCAAAAUCAACCAGGGCUUGCUAAGUCCAGGGUUAAUUUUUUUUUUUUUUUUUUUUUAGUUAACAGUAAAAAGACAAGGAGUUGUAGAAUGCUAUUAAUAUAUACAUUUUCUUGAACUGCAAAUUAGGAGAUGAAACAAGGUUUACUUCAUAAAAGAUACAAUUCGUAAUUUUAGAACCCUCAGCCUAAACUGGGGUUAAGAAGCGGCCUUGAGAAUCUAUUUUAUGGUUCAGUAGUUGAGUGGGGCAGACACGUUAGAAAUUGGUGUGUGAAAAAAAUUUACGUUUUCAACUUGGACUCCAGUAUAAGGCGGGUAGUACUGUAGCCUACAAAAUGCUAUCAAAACGUGUCUGUAGAUUUGAACUCGGCACACAGAUACUAGGCUAGACCGUGGUUCCCUGUUUUGGGGAUCUGGAAAAGAUUAUGACAGUUUCGAAUGACAGUCGUAUAGGACGAGCAGCUAAGUUCCUGUGAGUGGGCCUGGCUACCGCAUGGGGCAAGAUCCAACUGCUGGUUUUCAGGCCAUUGUGGGAAACUCAGGACGGAAAGUCCCAGUGAACACUUUUUCUGCUCCUUGGGAAACUUACAGCCUCUGUAAGGGGGUCAUCCCCAAAUGGGAAGAGGGGAGUGCAGAAGGCCAGAGAAUUUUUUUUUUUUUUUGAGAAACUGGCAGUCCAGCAGACAUUCCGGCGCCAGCAGGACACUUCUGGAACUGAAGGUCUUUGUACCAGGAAUAAAACUGUACUUCUUCCUUGAAGGAAAGGGAGUCCUGCCUCUUGGAAGCCGUUGGUGGGACCCGGGUAUGGAGGCUUGGGGAAAGGGCCUGCGGACUAGAGAGUAGAGAGAGGAAACCUCUCCAGGGCAAAACAAGCUCAUAGGUUUUGGAAGCUGACAGUGAAAAAACCUCUUUACGGUGAUACUGACCGGACGCUUUAUUUAGAAACGCGCAGGAAGGGUUGCAUUCUUCUGCCUUAGGAUAGGCGAUGGAAUGAAAGCAUUCCCGGGAGGAAACCUGGAACAUCCCUAGAGUGCAGAAUUGGUGGGUUCACUUAGAUCCUACAGAGAAGAUCCGCAGCUGGCAUCUGGGCCACACAUUUUUACAUAAUGUCUGCACAGAUAUCCAUCCUUCAAACUCGCAAUGCAGUAGGCUUCCCAAGCAACUCCACGGAUUCUGUUUUCAGGGAUAUGGGAAAGAGAAGGAUUAUCUCAGAUGAGAGGUAUGGGCGGCUUUGAGGAAGGCAGGGAGCCAGGUUGCGUCGUCCGGCGUGGAGUGUGGCCAGCGGUGGGCAGCUGCGCAGCGAGGGCUCCGCAACGCUGUCAGGAGUGGGCGUCGCAGGGAGAGCCGCGCUCUAGGACAGCUGGCGCCUCCAUAGCAGCACUGAGAACGCUGACAGGUUCUGCAAAUAACAGCUGCGGAACAAUCUUUCUGUUUGGACAACGUGGGAAGGGCCAUUGUUCACAAAUUGGUCUCUUCAAUAACACCUGCGUGCACAGUUAAUAAUCUGUUGUCGGUCUCCCCCGGCUUUCAAAGACAAAAGACAGCAGCGGAGGGAGGAGCGAGAGGUGACUGGAGAGAGCAGAGCAACUUGGGAACCUGGCAGGGUGCAAGUGAGGACUCCGGGUCCUGUUCCUGGAUCCAUCUCUGUUGUUCGCGGCGGGUUCGCUUUCAUUCGCCUCUACCGCCUUUUAUCUUUGCAGGCCACCAACAUCGCAGCCGCAAGCGUCAUUUCCUAUGCAGUUGCUAAGCGCCCUUCCUUGCAAGUCAGCGGUCAAUACUGCUAAAGUGGCCCCGGGAUAGGAAAGGUCACACGUGUGUAAGUAAAGCGAAAGGUUUAUGAGACGCAGGUGGCUCACACUCCUCCGAGAUCGCAGGAUUAGCAUGUCAAAGCCAAAAUGAAACGGAAGUAUGCGAGCACCUCCUCCCGUGUGCACAAUGCUUUGCAAAUUUAGAAUGGUAUUCUCCCUUGCACUCUCCCAUUCAAGCCCCAAUCACAACAGCGUGAAGUCGGCUCCAAUACAAGCUAUACCCUAACAGAAGAGAAGCCAAGCGACCAAGUGGGGACUUGGCUCUUGUGUUUGGUAGCUCACAUCCUGUGUCAUGUGUCUUCCCUACACUACUUUGGAGUAGUGUGGAGUAAUUCGCAUUUUGUUUUGGCCCUUUCCCUACCUUUCCUACCAGGUCUAAGAUUAGGUGAUAUGUUCAUGGAGACAUCGGACUGUAUCUUUCCCACCCUUUCUGUACUCUACUGUCCAACAUGGUGUGUCUGGUCAUGGUGAUUAAUAGGGUUCAAGUUCUGUUCCCAGUCCUGACAGCAACUGGCUUACAACUGCAUGUAACUCUGGCUGCAGGGGUCUUAUGGGUCUGGGGCACAUGCACUCAUGUACACAUACACAAACACAAAUUUAAAUAAAAUAAAUAUUUUUAAAAUAUGAAAUGAAAUGCUAGCCACAUUGUAACUACUGAAUAGCCCCGGGGGAGGUAGUGCACACUUUUAGCACUGGGGAGGUAGAGGCAAGCAGAGCUCUGUGAGUUCAAGGCUAGCCUAGUCUACAAAGUCUAGUCUAGUCUACAUCCAGGGCUACAUAAAAAGACCCAGUCUCAAGCAAAGCAAAGCAAAACAAAACAAAACAAAGAAAAGCCAUGCUUGGAAGGCAGAGGCAGAGGCAGAGGCAGAGGCAGAGGCAGAGGCAGAGGCAGAGGCAGAGGCAGAGGCAGAGGCAGAGGCAGAGGCAGAGGCAGAGGCAGAGGCAGAGGCAGAGGCAGAGGCAGAGGCAGAGGCAGAGGCAGAGGCAGAGGCAGGUGGGUCUAUGUGAGAUGGAGGCCAGUCUGGUCUACUACAGAGCUAGUUCCAGGAGAGCCAGGGCUACAUAGAGAAACCUUAUCUCAAAAACACAAAAACACAAAAACUAAACAAAAACAAUAUGCAUGUGUAAAAUAGCCAUAAUGAAUCCUAUAACAUAUGCUAAUAAAAUUAUUAAAACAUCAUUCUAUAUGAAAAUCUGAGAUAAAUAGUGUUAACUCUAGUAAAUUAUGUGUUUGACCCGAACAGUAAAAACUACAAAAUACUGCUUAGAGAAAGUUUAAGACUUAAAUGCAUUCUAUGCUCAUGGGUUAGAAAAACUUGAUUGUUGCAGUAAAUUUAAAUAAAUAAUGAUCCUCGACCUGGUUCCUGAGAGUUCCCAUUGUCGAGGAUCCACGCACUCUAGCUGUUUCUCUGUUACCGCUUUCACACACCGUCCCCUUGGUGGUUGUUACCACGCCUGAGACUCACAUAGCGUUCCGUGGGCGGUGCUAGCAUGGCCCCACACCAUGCUAGCCCCAAGCAUUCUACAGACUAGCACGGCUUUCUGUCACAAACUCUGUUCACACUCCCAACAUCCAGUGAAAUCAUUACUCAGCAAACUGGAACCCAACAACCAGAUUUACGUGUUAAAUGCUCAAUGUACAAUACAUCCACACAAUUAACUUACAACCAAUUGAUAAGGUAUAAUCGCCCACUUAAACAUACAAAGCCCUGUACAUAUCUUCAUCCCUUAGACUAUUUGUAACAACCUAUAAAUGUACAGAGAGGAAUCAGCCUCCAUGUUCUCUCGGCUGCCUCCCUCUCCGGUUCCAGUCUUCUCCUCUCUCUAAAAUUUUUCUCCCGCCUAUCCUUCCUUUCUCGUCCAAUGACAGGCCUCGUUCUAUCUUGUACCUGCCUUCACCUGCGUAAUGACGUCAUCCUACACUGGAUGGCAUUAGGGCACUACGUCUCAGGAUAGAGAGAUGGGUCAGUGGUUAAGAGCACUUGUUGAUCUUGCAGAGGACCCUCACAGUGACUCAGGUCUGUAAUUCUAGUUCUUCCUCUCCUGAACUCCAUGGAUGCCAGGCAGGUAAGUGCUACACAUAUAUACAACAGAGAAACUGCUUAGGCACAUAGAAAAAGAAAACAUAAAAUUGUUUUAAAGAUAUUUCUCGGGGCUGGGGAUUUAGCUCAGUGGUAGAGCGCUUACCUAGGAAGCACAAGGCCCUGGGUUCGGUCCCCAGCUCCGAAAAAAAGAACCAAAAAAAAAAAAAAAAGAUAUUUCUCCUCAAGACAAAGUUUUAGUAGGAUCGGAUCCGUUGGCUCUAAAAUUGAUAUUUGAAUCCAGAGAGUUUAGAAUAAUCCAAAACUAUAUAGAGUAGAAGAAUCAACAUGGAAGGUUUUCAUGACUUCUUCCUAAGGUAUACAGCUGCAGUAAUGAAGAUAGUUUGGGUCUGCUAUAGAGGCUAGUGCAAUAAAUAGUUCUCAACCUGUGGGUCCCGACCCCUCCGUGGAGUUGAAUGAUCCUUUUGCUGGAGUUGCCUAGGACCAUCCGAAAACAUAGAUUUUUACAAUAUAAUUUGUAACAGUAGCAAAGUUACCGUUAUGAAGUAGCUAUGAAAUAAUUUUAUGGUUGGGGGUCACCACGGCAUGAGGAACUGUAUUAAGGGGUCACAGCGUUAGGAAGGCUGAGAGCCACUGCUCUAGCUGAAGAUCCUGGAAAAGGGAUAGAUCAGGGAAAGACUAAGUAGGAGUGCGGUGGAACAGGAGCUUUGGUCUACUGAGGGAGACUUUGUGGUGACAGUGAAAAGGUAUCAUGGCAAUUUGCACUGACUGGUGUGUGAUGCAAUUACUUUAUGAGUUACAGUUCUUAAUGCCCUUGUUUAAUUACUUUUAACCCAUUUACAAAGGUCUAAUUAAUAAUUGAGCAUGUCCUGCACCUAAAAUAAAACACUGAGUUCAAACCUGACAUCCAUUCUCCUCCUAAGAGUGGUACUCUGAUUUCUUUGUGGAGAACCGCUCUCUUCCUCAUUCUCUGUAGAGUUGCUUCUACUCUUGGUGUUGGAGUGGAACGUUCUACUCCGCCCAGGGAUGACCAAGGGCAGCAUCAUUUUCCCUGGCUUUUCUGAGUGCUUCCUAGGUGGUCACGUGACCUAAGCUGAGCUCCUCUGCAUGAUUCUCACGGCCGUGGGAAAGAUUUCUAGUCCAGAAGCUUUGCAAAUAACUUCUUUGUUGUCCUUUACAUGAAUUUAUGCCUGGUUUUAGUUCUUUAUUUUUGAGACAGGAUUUCCUAUAGCUCAGUUUAGACUUUUGAAUAUAGCUGAGGCUGGCUUAAAACUCCUGACCUUCCUGCCUCUACCUCCUAAGAGCUAAGACUACACGGAUUUGGCGGACUUGUCUUUGGUCUUGUUUGAUGUUACUGUAAAAGAAAAUAACCUGAAACUCAAGCACACAACUUUUUAUUUUCUCUGUCUUAUCCCCGUUCCCUGAAUUUGUUCUUUAGAUGGUAGAGCUGGGGGCUGGAGAGAUGGUUCAGCGGAAUACUAGCUGUUUUCCCAGAGGGCUCGGGUUCAAUUUCCGGCACGCACAUGGUGGCUACAACCAUCACCAGACCUAGGAGAUCUGAUGACCUUACUAGGCACGGGCGUACAUACAGGCAAAAUACCCAUACAUUUUUUUUUUAGAUUUAUUUUAUUUAUUAUAUAUAAGUACACUGUAGCUGUCUUCAGACACACCAGAAGAGGGCAUUGGACACCAUUACAGAUGGCUGUGAGCCACCAUGUGGUUGCUGGGAAUUGAACUCAGGACCUCUGGAAGAGCAGUCAGUGCUCUUAACCGCUGAGCCAUCUCUCCAGCCCCCCAUAUAUUUUUUUAAAAUGGUAUAAACACUGUUUUGGUGUCAAGGAAAGCCAAUUACCGUGAAAAAAAUGACCCAAAACUCUUCAGCCUCAGAGUACUUCACUCUUUAGGAGGUGAAGGAGGAAGAGCAGUGUGAGGAAGUGGCUUACGAAUUUACACCUCUGUGUGAAACUCGCCUCCAUUCACAGUCUUGACUGGGAACUCAACGUGAUUUGCCCACUUGUCUGACUACAGCCCCAGAGAAAAAGAAGCUACACUUAAGAUCCAAGAUUUAAAAUGAGUCCUUGUUGAUUUCCAUUCAGCCAAAUCUGGUUAUUUCUCUCAUCUUCUCCCUCCCCCCCCCCUUUUUAUGUGUGAGAGAAAUGAAGACAGCUUAAUAAGAAGCGGGAAAGGCCCUUCUGAGGGAAAGCGGGGUAGUGAAUGGAAUGAAAAAGGAAGCUAAAAAUACCAGUCAGAGCAGGGAUCACUUCUUGCUCUCUGCCUCUCCAAAUAUCUUUUAGGUCUACCUCUAUCCCCUUCCUUUUCUCCUCGUCUGUUCUGCCUGGCCGCCUCUCCUCUGGACUCUUGCAGCCUGGAUCGCCAAGAACCAGGGUGCUCUAUGCCCUGACUUCGCCAAGAGCCCUGCAUGCAAAUGAGCCUCCUUCUUGAUGGGUAUACUGGACUUAGUGCUUGAUGAGAAAGAGAUCCGCCAAAGAGGUGCUGUGGCUGCAGAGAUGUGGGUCCGUGGCCUUCUUCACGGUCCACAGCUAUAUAACAGUAAUGGCUUCUCCUGGAUCUGCUGACCUGGAUUCCUAUCGAAGGGUUUGAAAUGGCCUGAGAUGAGCCAGGAUCAAAGACUGAAACCACGAGCUCGCUCUGGGGCUUCAAUCAAAUAAAGGUCGUAUGGUUGCUUCUGUCCAACUUGCGUUUGAGAGCUGCUUUCGUGGAGACCUUUGUUUGUAGAGGUGACCACAUGAAGAGGCAUAAGGCUUCUCCCACCAUGACGAUGGCAGGGCCGAACACACACCGAAGAGCACUGGAACAAGCCUCUGCAGGGCUCGGUAUCUUGCUGAGUUUUCCUCAGCCUCCUUACGUCACGGGUCGGCCACUUUCACUGUUGAAGAAUCCCCAGCAUGGCUUGUGUGUGGUCUCCUGACUCUGUCUCGGGAACUUUCAGGAGCUGACCUCCAGCUGGCCUCUGUAUUGAGCUUGGGAAGCCCUGGUUUUCACUUUUAUGCUGUUCUCUGUCUCAUGGGUCUAAAGCCGAGAGGCUCAGCUUCAUCUGCUCACAGCAUUCCAAGCUCAAUACCUCUCUCCUUCCCUUUUAUUUGCUGCCCACCUACCCACCUUACCCAGCAUUGGAUUGUAUUGAGCUGCCCAGGCUGGCCUGGGACUUGCUUGGUAGCUGUGAUGGUUUGAACAUGCUUGGCCCAAGGAGCAGCACAGUUAGGAGGUAUGGCCUUGUUACAGGAAGUGUGUCACUGUGGGUUGGGCUUUGAGACCCUCCUCCAAGCUGCCUGGAAGACAGUCUUCUCCUAGCCGCCAUUGGAUCAAGAUGUAGAACUCUCAGCUCCUCUAGCACCAUGCCUGCCUGGACACUGCUCUGUUUCCCACCUUGAUGAUAAUGGACUGAACCUCUGAACCUGCAAUUGCCACAAGCAUCUAAGGAGUGGUCGAGUGGGCUGAGAAAUGAUCAGAGGCCCAAGGCUGCUGCUAGUAGGGAAUGACUCAAGAAUGAGCCAGCAUUGAGGAUGCAUUUGUCAAGGCGAGAGAGGCACGCACGAUCACUGAGCAUGGCUUGAGAUUUCCACCUUAUAAAGGAAUGUCUCUGCCCUCCCAGGAGAUGAGUUGAGAGAUGCUCAACUUUAGAAAAUCCUCCCCUAAUUCCACAAAUGACAAACCCAGACUACUGUUUGCCAGUCAGCUCUCAGAAUAUUUAUGAGAGUACCACGCUUCUCAUGUUGCAAAGAAGGCCAAUUCAAAAUACUCAUGACUCUUCAGAUUAUUGAUGCUUGACCAGCAAGGUUACAAUGAGGGCUGGAGAUCCAACUCAGCUUCACCAGUGCUGGUCUAGUACUCUACCACUGAACUAUACUCCCAGCCUUCUACAGUGAUUCAUAGGAAGAGUUGUUUUCUACCAAAUUCAUGUUUAUUACAUAUAUGUUUAAAACACCUCUUGUCUUCAUUUGUGUUGAAUGUGGAACCCGUGUAAAAGACAAUAAAUACGGUCUCUCCUGAA